RNAcentral lists this ribosomal RNA (248 nucleotides) under uncultured Actinomycetes bacterium. RNAcentral describes it as "uncultured actinobacterium partial 16S ribosomal RNA". It matches the Rfam family "Bacterial small subunit ribosomal RNA", at positions 28 to 276 of the family's 1533-position model. The record is from RNAcentral. Lineage: Bacteria; Bacillati; Actinomycetota; Actinomycetes.
GGCGAACGCUGGCGGCGUGCUUAACACAUGCAAGUCGAGCGGUAAGGCCCUUUCGGGGGUACACGAGCGGCGAACGGGUGAGUAACACGUGGGUGACCUGCCCUUAGCUCUGGGAUAAGCCUGGGAAACUGGGUCUAAUACCGGAUAUGACUCCAUGACGCAUGUUGUGGGGUGGAAAGCCUUGUGCGGCUGGGGAUGGGCCCGCGGCCUAUCAGCUUGUUGGUGGGGUGAUGGCCCCACCAAGGCGA